UACGUAGGGGGCAAGCGUUGUCCGGAUUUAUUGGGCGUAAAGAGCGUGUAGGCGGCCACACAGGUCUGCUGUGAAAACUCGAGGCUCAACCUCGAGCUGUCGGUGGAAACCGUGUGGCUAGAGUCCGGAAGAGGCGAGUGGAAUUCCUGGUGUAGCGGUGGAAUGCGCAGAUAUCAGGAGGAACACCAAUAGCGAAGGCAGCUCGCUGGGACGUUACUGACACUGAGGCGCGAAAGCGUGGGGAGCGAACAGG
Molecule: ribosomal RNA, 253 nt
Filed under: uncultured bacterium
Lineage: Bacteria
Description: partial 16S ribosomal RNA
Rfam family: Bacterial small subunit ribosomal RNA
Source: RNAcentral